This 253-nucleotide ribosomal RNA is filed under the name uncultured bacterium. Its description in RNAcentral is "partial 16S ribosomal RNA". It matches the Rfam family "Bacterial small subunit ribosomal RNA", at positions 524 to 776 of the family's 1533-position model. The record is from RNAcentral.
UACAGAGGUCCCAAGCGUUGUUCGGAAUUACUGGGCGUAAAGGGCGCGUAGGCGGCCUUCUAAGUCGAACGUGAAAUCCCCGGGCUCAACCCGGGAACUGCGUCCGAUACUGGAAGGCUUGAAUCCGGGAGAGGGAUGCGGAAUUCCAGGUGUAGCGGUGAAAUGCGUAGAUAUCUGGAGGAACACCGGUGGCGAAGGCGGCAUCCUGGACCGGUAUUGACGCUGAGGCGCGAAAGCCAGGGGAGCAAACGGG